RNAcentral lists this non-coding RNA (103 nucleotides) under Andreprevotia lacus. RNAcentral describes it as "TPP sequence". It matches the Rfam family "TPP riboswitch aptamer (THI element)". Rfam says of the family: Vitamin B(1) in its active form thiamin pyrophosphate (TPP) is an essential coenzyme that is synthesised by coupling of pyrimidine and thiazole moieties in bacteria. The previously detected thiamin-regulatory element, thi box was extended, resulting in a new, highly conserved RNA secondary structure, the THI element, which is widely distributed in eubacteria and also occurs in some archaea. Analysis of operon structures identified a large number of new candidate thiamin-regulated genes, mostly transporters, in various prokaryotic organisms. Lineage: Bacteria; Pseudomonadati; Pseudomonadota; Betaproteobacteria; Neisseriales; Chitinibacteraceae. The record is from RNAcentral. RNAcentral also lists the same sequence under 1 other name.
UAUUUUCGCUAGGGGUUCCGUGCCGGUUUGCCGGCGUGGAUGAGAGAGUCCCUCAGCACCUGAUCCGGCUCAUACCGGCGUAGGGAAGCGAAUCUGCAGGGCG